AAGGUUUUCCUGGACGGAAGAAACGCUUUCACAUUAAGAAGAGAGCAGUCGACUCACCCAGUCCUUUCCAGCCAUUCUACCGCGGGCGAGGACGUGGAUAAAUUCUGGGUGACCCUGCUUUCCAUUUGAGAUAUGCCCUGGGCGAGGACACACGAGUGCUUGACACACGCCCGGAAAUAGCGUGAAGACGGAGAUGGAUGAUGGAAAAUUCAGCUGAGGAGAGCUAGCAUAUGUGCAUAUACUAGUGAUAUAUACAUAUAUCGAUUAGCGGUAAAGAUCUGUUAUUUGUCAAGGACUGAAACAGCUGGUUGGAUAUUUCUUAUUUAUGCCUAAAUAACAUAUGCUAUAUAUGCUGGAGAUGUAUAUUUCCGGAAAUUAGGCUGGAACUUACAUUUAGUCUUCUGUCAAUUUCACGGAAAUAAA
Molecule: long non-coding RNA, 423 nt
Organism: Ornithorhynchus anatinus (platypus)
Lineage: Eukaryota; Metazoa; Chordata; Mammalia; Monotremata; Ornithorhynchidae
Exons: 3
Source: RefSeq, a predicted model, not a curated record